CUUUUCCAAGUUAUGGUAUCUUCUUGUUUAGCUGCUGGGUGCCUGGCUUAGAGGACCAGGAGUCCUCUAAGGAGGCUAGGCUGUAUGCUGGAGGCUAGAGAUGUGGCACCGCAACACCAUCGCUCGCCUAGCUGCCGUUGGUGGUGACAAAGGAGACUGCUUCACACCUGGAGCGGCUGUUGCUUUUGAAAGGGGAGCCUGGAUCUCCCUCCUGUUUGCUUGGGGGCAAACACAUAGUAUCAUGGCCUUGUGAAGACAGGUUGCCUGCACCAGAUAGCAACACUGGCUGUAGUUCUGAAAAUAAAGAUCUAUUUGAAGAAUUCAGAGAAUCUAUGGAAGACAGCUCUGCUUGCCCUGAAGCAAAGAAACCCAGGGACCUGGCUCCACAACCUCUGAAGUUGAUGUUAGGUCCAGCUAAUGUUUGUCCUCUAAAAAGAGUGAAAGUGGAAUUUUCUGUCAGUUAUACUAGUGCUCCAUUCCAGUAGCUACAUUAAAGAAUGUGGAAAAAAGAUGAGUCUUUCUGAUUGUCUGAAUAGAAGUGGAUCAUUUCCACUAGAACAGCUUCAAAGCUCCCCCCAACUUUUACACAAUAUCCAUUGCUUAGAGGUAU
This is a non-coding RNA of Macaca mulatta (Rhesus monkey), 610 nucleotides long. The record is from RefSeq and is a predicted model, not a curated record. Lineage: Eukaryota; Metazoa; Chordata; Mammalia; Primates; Cercopithecidae.